AGACAAGGCAAUCGUCUGGUUGCAAUAAAGGUCUGUGUGCAUUCAAAUUUUUCUGGGUAUCAGGAACCAAUAGGAAGAGUGAUCUCAUUUCAACCAAUGGAAAGCAAGUCCUCAGAAGCUUGGAGAUCCCCUUCAGAGGAGUGUGUUCAGUCAAAUUGUUCUUAGAAUAUGAACCAAUAAGGAGUGUGACCUCAAUUCCUACAGUGAAAAACAAAUCCUGAAGUUAUAAUGGAGAUCUUCAUCAGAGAUGUAGAUUCAUAUCUCUCUCCCUCCUCUGUGCAAUGGGAAAGAAGCAGGGUAAUGUUAAUGGUAACAUAGAAUAAAG
Molecule: long non-coding RNA, 325 nt
Filed under: Cricetulus griseus (Chinese hamster)
Lineage: Eukaryota; Metazoa; Chordata; Mammalia; Rodentia; Cricetidae
Description: lncRNA (ENSCGRG00015029153.1)
Source: RNAcentral